Molecule: unclassified non-coding RNA, 324 nt
Organism: Erinaceus europaeus (western European hedgehog)
Lineage: Eukaryota; Metazoa; Chordata; Mammalia; Eulipotyphla; Erinaceidae
Gene: 7SK
Rfam family: 7SK RNA
About the family: 7SK was discovered as an abundant small nuclear RNA in the mid-70s but a possible function has only recently been suggested. Two independent studies have found that 7SK RNA binds the CDK9/cyclin T complex (known as elongation factor P-TEFb). P-TEFb activates transcription by phosphorylating the C-terminal domain of RNA polymerase II.
Source: Ensembl
GGAUGUGAGGACAACUUGGCUGCGACAUCCGUCACUCCAUUGAUCGCCAGGGUUGAUUCAGCUGACCUGACUGGCUAGGCGGGUGUCCCCUUCCUCCCUCACUGCUCCAUGUGCGUACCUCCCAAAGCUCCGCACUGGGUCAAAAAGGAUGGCCUUCCCUGAAUAGAGACGGACCGAUCUUCGGUCGAGGGUAUAUGAGUAGCUGUGCUCCCCUGCUAGAACCUCCAAGCAAGCUCUCAAGAGUCCCAGUUCUGGUAGCUGAGGGGUGGCACAGUAGAUAAAGUAUUGAACUUUGCAGCUUGAGGUCUCAAGUUCUAUCCCCAA